This 599-nucleotide ribosomal RNA is filed under the name uncultured Methanosaeta sp. Its description in RNAcentral is "bacterial SSU rRNA". It matches the Rfam family "Archaeal small subunit ribosomal RNA", at positions 83 to 686 of the family's 1478-position model. The record is from RNAcentral. Lineage: Archaea; Methanobacteriati; Methanobacteriota; Methanomicrobia; Methanotrichales; Methanotrichaceae.
CGGCUCAGUAACACGUGGAUAACCUACCCUUGAGACGGGGAUAAACCCGGGAAACUGGGUAUAAUACCCGAUAGAUCUCGACUGCUGGAAUGCAUCGAGCUUGAAAGCUCCGGCGCUCAAGGAUGGGUCUGCGGCCUAUCAGGUAGUAGUGGGUGUAGCGUACCUACUAGCCUACGACGGGUACGGGUUGUGAGAGCAAGAGCCCGGAGAUGGAUUCUGAGACACGAAUCCAGGCCCUACGGGGUGCAGCAGGCGCGAAAACUUUACAAUGCUGGAAACAGCGAUAAGGGGACCUCGAGUGCCAGGUUACAAAUCUGGCUGUCGUGAUGCCUAAAAAGCAUUGCAUAGCAAGGGCCGGGCAAGACCGGUGCCAGCCGCCGCGGUAACACCGGCGGCUCGAGUGGUAACCGUUAUUAUUGGGUCUAAAGGGUCUGUAGCCGGCCGGAUAAGUCUCUUGGGAAAUCUGGCAGCUUAACUGUCAGGCUUUCAGGAGAUACUGUCUGGCUCGAGGCCGGGAGAGGUGAGAGGUACUUCAGGGGUAGGGGUGAAAUCUUGUAAUCCUUGAAGGACCACCAGUGGCGAAGGCGUCUCACCAGAAC